UGUGAGGUAUGCUGGACGUAUCAGAAGUGCGAAUGCUGACAUAAGUAACGAUAAAGCGGGUGAAAAGCCCGCUCGCCGGAAGACCAAGGGUUCCUGUUCAACGUUAAUCGGAGCAGGGUGAGUCGACCCCUAAGGCGAGGCUGAAAAGCGUAGUCGAUGGGAAACGGGUUAAUAUUCCCGUACUUGUGGUAACUGCGAAGGGGGGACGGAGAAAGUUAGGCUAUCCGGGCGACGGUUGUCCCGGUUUAAGCGUGAAGGUGGAGAGACUAGGCAAAUCCGGUCUUUCAUUAACACUGAGGCGUGAUGACGAAGCACUACGGUGCUGAAGUAGCUGAUACUACGCUUCCAGGAAAAGCCUCUAAGCAUCAGGUUACCAGAAAUCGUACCCCAAACCGACACAGGUGGUCAGGUAGAGAAUACUCAGGCGCUUGA
This 432-nucleotide ribosomal RNA is filed under the name Escherichia coli. Its description in RNAcentral is "partial 23S ribosomal RNA". It matches the Rfam family "Bacterial large subunit ribosomal RNA", at positions 1262 to 1693 of the family's 2925-position model. Lineage: Bacteria; Pseudomonadati; Pseudomonadota; Gammaproteobacteria; Enterobacterales; Enterobacteriaceae. The record is from RNAcentral.